UCCUCUGUCUUUAGUUCUAGAACCCCUGAUCUCCUAGCAACGAGGCUGGCGGAACCUCCGCAGGUUUUAUAGCGGCCGGUAGCGACACGGAGCCGGCUCCCCCUUUUCCAGCCUUCCUCCCCAUCUCCCAUUCCCCGUCCCCCACGACCUAUACCAGAGGUCCUUAGGCCUCCACGUCUCCCCUUCUGCCUAGUAGCCCAAGGUUUCCACCCAUCUGCCAGGGGGAUGGCGUCCACUCCGAUGGGGAAUGAAGGGGAGAAGAAGAGCAGCUGGCCGUCUCAAGCUGCACCCUCCUUGAGAGGAGGUCCGGCUUCGUUGUCUCGCUCUGAGGAAUACCUGUCCCGGAUCAGUGCAGAACUCACGGAGGAGGCUUUGUGCACUGCUUGUUGCCACUUGAACCCUGUGCCCAUCAAAAAAAAACAGACACAAGACCAAGCGACUCAGAUAUCCAAACGUGCAUUCUUCACCAAGACCUGAGGCACAGAUACCCGAAACCGUACCUGCAGCAAGGCACACCCCCUGCCAACUCCUCGUGAAAAGAACAUGCCUCAAAACUCCUCUUUUGCCACUCGUUAACCACUUCUGUUUGUGGGAACCUCCUGGUCAUGACCAGCAGCAUCCCGAAGCCUUCAAAGUGUUCUGGAUUCAUCACACAACCCUCCAACCUCAGCCAGCAAGGACACCACCAGGAAUGAAAGCGCUUUAAUAAAGAGACAGGGAUCGUUCCCUCCCCCAG
Chlorocebus sabaeus (green monkey) is the source of this 736-nucleotide non-coding RNA. NCBI's taxonomy places the organism in Eukaryota, Metazoa, Chordata, Mammalia, Primates, Cercopithecidae. The record is from RefSeq and is a predicted model, not a curated record.